GGUAUAAGAGACAGCAGCAGCCGCGGUAAUACGUAGGUGGCAAGCGUUGUCCGGAAUUAUUGGGCGUAAAGCGCGCGCAGGCGGAUAGGUCAGUCUGUCUUAAAAGUUCGGGGCUUAACCCCGUGAUGGGAUGGAAACUGCCAAUCUAGAGUAUCGGAGAGGAAAGUGGAAUUCCUAGUGUAGCGGUGAAAUGCGUAGAUAUUAGGAAGAACACCAGUGGCGAAGGCGACUUUCUGGACGAAAACUGACGCUGAGGCGCGAAAGUCAGGGGAGCGAACGGGAUUAGAUACCCCAGUAGUCCCUGUCUCUUAUACA
Molecule: ribosomal RNA, 315 nt
Filed under: uncultured bacterium
Lineage: Bacteria
Description: partial 16S ribosomal RNA
Rfam family: Bacterial small subunit ribosomal RNA
Source: RNAcentral